Molecule: long non-coding RNA, 4358 nt
Organism: Chrysemys picta bellii (western painted turtle)
Lineage: Eukaryota; Metazoa; Chordata; Testudines; Emydidae
Source: RefSeq, a predicted model, not a curated record
UUGGGUCUGGAACAACAACAAUAUCUGUUAAAGUGCAGGUGUCUUGGCAUUUAGCCACCAAUGCCAUGAGGUGGUGUGCCUCAGUUUCCCCUUCUACACAGCAGCAUGGGCCUGUUAUGCUUUUGCUGCUGUGCCAAGCUUCCAGCCUGUUUACAGAUAUAAACUGCAGGGUAACAUCCUUGCGGGACUGUCUUGUCACCAUCCCUAGCAUGUACAACAAUUUCUUCCACAAAUGUCCCACACCUUUAAAGGGUUUACCACUAGCAUUAACACCUUUGUUUUAACCCAUAUAUGAAUUAGCAAAAGACACAAGAUUAACAGCAAAUUUACGGUGGACAGGCUUUGUUCACAUGAUUUAGCUUGUGUCUACUGCAUUUUCCCAUUUCUUUGUAUCCCCUGGUAGGCACUCUGAUGCAGAUUCUUCUGUCUCUUUGGAGAAGGCUUUUAAUUCAGGCAUGUGUUUGAGGCUUUGGCAAGGAAAGGGUGUACUGCAACCAUGCCUGCCCUUGGCCCCUCCCUCUGGAAUUUCUCUGCCCUGGUCCCCACUCCCAUGUGAAGCUUCACCCAUGCAGAGAUUUUUUCCUCCUGCCUUGAAGAGACAGUUUUAUCUCUUACAAGCAUAGCAAGAACAUCUUUCAAUGGGGUGCUUUGGAUUGUUCCCUUGAGCUUUCUGGAGUAUCCGAGACUUACCUCCUCUCCUUAACUCUGCUCCACCCUCAUCCAUCGUGGUCCAAAGGUAGGUGAUAUCACCAGAUACUAAAGUCAUUAGAGUACAAUGAAAAGCAGUACGGUUGAUACUGAGUCACUGUUGAGGCGGUGAUGGAUGCCUGCUGCCACUGCAGUCUUUCCCAGCUGCACAAUCUCUCACCUCAUAGGGACAAGGGUUUGAUUGGCUCUUCCAAAGGAAAUAGGUGGCACUUCAGUUCCAAAAAGGAGGGGGGCUGAGGCUUUGCAGAGAGCCUACUGCUCUGUGCAGUACUGCUGCUUUUUUUUGGCUGGGCCCUGUUUCACUGGGGGAGGCAAGGGAGAGAGCUUGCCAUCCUCGCUAUCACCUGGGGCCCUAGGCCCAGGAAAUGUGCACCCAAGUAGUGAUAUAGAAUAAAGCAGGUAGCAGAGAUUCAGAAUUCUGUAUCACUGAUUUGAGUGUGAAAAUUAAUUGAGUAGGGCCUGUGUGCUGCCGGAUUAGAAAUUGGGGUUGCUCAGCACCUUGCAGGAUUGGGCCCUGAAUUGGCAUGUACUGUGUGUCAGAUUAUCAAGAACUAAAUGAAUUUGCAGAGCAAAUGACAUUCUGCUGUGGUGCUGUCCAGGCUUCACAGGUGACUGAUAUACAUGAGCACAGAACAACAAUUUUCUCUCCCUUUCUCAUCCCAAGGUUUUCAACCAUCAGAAAUCUGGAAAAGCAAUUGGAUGACAAAGAGAGAAAAUUAUGUUUUUCUUUGCUCAUGUGCAUCAGUCACCGGUGAAACCUGGACACUAGCCAAGCCUUAUCCCACCAAUCUUAGGCGUCAAAACUAUUUCUGAAGAUGAAGGCUGCUUCUGAUGUGAAUGGAACCUCUCUCCCACUGAUUGCAAGAGGAGCUUUUUUCCCUUCUCAUUUAAAAACAAACAACCCUUUAUUUAAAGUAUUUUCACAGCUAGAUAGAUCAGGUGUUAAAAUAUUACAAGUUACCAAAAGGCCUUUUUCUACUUUGCUGACUAAACUGUCUGCAUAACAAACAAAACACACACAAUGUAGUAAAAAUCUGAAACCAGUGAAAAACUAUUUCUGAUUAUCAUUAACUAUCCAUCCACACUCAAGCUCCACCGUGUGCAUGGUCUUCAUCUCCCACUGACUUCCCCUGAAACAAGCCAGUCUCUUCACUUUGCACAUGCCACAUCUCAUCCCUGAGAAGAAUUUUUUUCUGGGAACUCUGGAAAAUAUCACAGGAAGAAGAAUUUAAAAGAUACGCUGCUAGAUCUUUGCUCCCAUUCAGGCAGCACAAAGCAGCCAGGAUGCCAGUAAAUCCAGUCCCUGAAGAUGCCCAUGCACAGGGAAGUCUGUGGGGUGUGUAGAGCUGUCACCACAACUCCUAUGCAACCCCUCUCCCAACCCCACCUUCAGUAUAGGGGGAAAUGUCCAGGAGAAAGGGAUGUGGCCAGGGUGCCCCUGCAGUUGGCUGAUCCCUAGCUCCAAGUAUUGCCCCUUGUAGCCAUAGAUAGCUGGGUAUAAGGCCAGGUUUACACUAGAAGCUUUUGUAACUAUAGCAAUGUUAGCUAAAAGUGGGAUGGAUUUAUUUAUUUUGGGUGACAUUUCUGUGCUGGCAAAAGCCCUAGUGUAGAUGCAGUUGUACUGAGACAGAGGACAUGUCUAAAUUAGGAGGUUAUAGCUAUAUCAGCAAAACUUUUAAGUGUAGGUUAAGUCCAAGUUAGAGUAGCUCUAAGUCUACUCUAGUGCUAGCCCUGAAUUUGCCCAGACCUGGGGGUUGUGGUCAUUCUGCUCCUGUGCCAAGUGUGGCUUGGUUUGAUCAAAGUGAUAAAGAUUUCCAAAAUUUCCUUGUCCUUCUCUUGGGAGUGAGUGUGGUUUUGAGGUCAAUGGAACUGCAUAUGAGUAAAAGUUUGCAGGAUGGAGCCCCACCUAUCUAUGCUUCUGUGGAGAGAGAUCAAAGGGAACUUGGUAUGUACAUAUUAGAGAAAAAAAAUGAGUAUGCUGCAGUGGUGGGCUCAAGCCACACAGUUUAGAGCCAAAUUUGUCUAAAGUCUGAGUGGUAGUUCAGGCCCAUCUCUGAUAAACUGGGUAUUCUAACUCCAGUAUCUAUAAAAAUGAUCAGAGGGGGAACAGAAUACAAGAUGAGGGAUGCUACUGAGUGUGAUUGAGGAUGAUGCAACAAGUAAUGGCUAAGAGUAUCAGUUCCAAGAAUUGGAGCAUGCUCACAAACCUGACAUACUGGUAAUCCCUUGGGGGAUGUGACCUGCAGGCUGAGAAGAACUGGGCUAGAGAAGCACAGAAGAUCCUUUCUAAUAUUAUCAACUAAUUGUGUAUGUGUAUGUAGUUCUGUACAUGGAAAAGUGAACUUAACAGAUUUAAACUAUUCUAAAAUUAACUUCCUUCCCAAAGCAAAUGUGUCUGCCUGGAAUUUCCUCCAACCUGGUAAGUGUCAGUGGCUGAAGUUUUCAAAUCACUGAGACAUCAAACCCUUAUAACUAGAGUGGCUUAUAAUAGGCUGCCACCAUACAUUCUUUUUAAAUAUACAAUAGUGCUGUUAAACUGGCAUUAAGAUUGUGAGCCCAGCUUUUAAACAUGAGCUCCUUAAUAGGAUAUGCACAUUUUGGGUCUCAACUUAUCACUUACUUGUGUCAAUGAGCAUUUUCCUCCCCCUAAGUUCUGAGUUGCACAUCUACAUAUGGCAUUUAGAUGUCCUAUUAAAUAGCCCAUGUUUGAAAAUUGGGCUGCCUAUGUUAAAAUGUGUUGGUAUUUAUUGUAUAAAGAGAUUCGUAACCAUCUGAUUCACUGCAAUAAAAGUUUAAAAAAAUAAGUCUCUUUAGGAAAAGCUAGUUUAAUAUUGAAUAAGUGAAAGAACAUUAAGGCUAUGUUCUUUGGAGCGGAUUCCCAAUUUGAGUAGACUUACUUGUGCUAGUUUGAUAACAGCUAGCAUUCUGUAGCCAUGGUAGCACAGCAAGCCCAUGUGCCUAUAGCCACUGCCUGUGCUGAGUACAAACCCACCCAAUCCCACGGGUAUGUACUCAUGGUGGCUAGCCUUGGCUGCCACUUGCCGCUGCCCAUGCUACUGUGGCUACACUACUAAUUUUCGUUGGCUAGCUCAAUGAGAGCUAGUUGCAAGUAUAACUACUUCUAUGAAUCUCACACCCAGCUCAAGUGUAGAUGUAGUCUAAAACAAUAUUUAAUAGGCAGCUGCUGUAAGAGAGAUUUGAUUGCUUUUUAUCUGCGUUAUCAUAAUGUGUACAGUUAGGGAAUGAAAAAAUAUUUGCUAUUUUUCAAGGAACUUCAUGUUAAUUACCAUAGGAACCUUUUCAGGUAACUAGUCUCGGAACUUGAAAAGUGCAUUCAGUGCAAAAAGAUGGGAUUCUACAUUAAGACUGGAAAAGGUUUGAGACAGAGCAGUUCAUGCAUGAAAAGGCUAAACCUCUUACUGCCUUUCUCAGCUUUAUUUGUUGUCCUCUUGAAUUUCCUGGCGGAAAUUAAUUCCUGUCAUUUCUAUUUCAGCAAUUUGUAAAAGCCAAGUCCAUCAUAUGCAGCUUGAGAAUACAGACAGAUGGGUACGAAGAUGGGAAAGAUGGGCUUAGAGUGACAACUAGUGUUCAAUUUUCUUUCUUACCAGCUUAAUAGAAAAAACAGAAAACAAGAGACAAGGUGGGUGAGG